AUUGAACGCUGGCGGCAGGCCUAACACAUGCAAGUCGAGCGGUAACAGGAGAAAGCUUGCUUUCUUGCUGACGAGCGGCGGACGGGUGAGUAAUGUAUGGGGAUCUGCCCGAUAGAGGGGGAUAACUACUGGAAACGGUGGCUAAUACCGCAUAAUGUCUACGGACCAAAGCAGGGGCUCUUCGGACCUUGCACUAUCGGAUGAACCCAUAUGGGAUUAGCUAGUAGGUGGGGUAAAGGCUCACCUAGGCGACGAUCUCUAGCUGGUCUGAGAGGAUGAUCAGCCACACUGGGACUGAGACACGGCCCAGACUCCUACGGGAGGCAGCAGUGGGGAAUAUUGCACAAUGGGCGCAAGCCUGAUGCAGCCAUGCCGCGUGUAUGAAGAAGGCCUUAGGGUUGUAAAGUACUUUCAGCGGGGAGGAAGGUGAUAAGGUUAAUACCCUUAUCAAUUGACGUUACCCGCAGAAGAGCACC
This 476-nucleotide ribosomal RNA is filed under the name Proteus mirabilis. RNAcentral's name for it is "bacterial SSU rRNA". It matches the Rfam family "Bacterial small subunit ribosomal RNA", at positions 30 to 494 of the family's 1533-position model. Lineage: Bacteria; Pseudomonadati; Pseudomonadota; Gammaproteobacteria; Enterobacterales; Morganellaceae. The record is from RNAcentral.